RNAcentral lists this ribosomal RNA (433 nucleotides) under uncultured bacterium. RNAcentral describes it as "partial 16S ribosomal RNA". It matches the Rfam family "Bacterial small subunit ribosomal RNA", at positions 29 to 507 of the family's 1533-position model. The record is from RNAcentral.
AACGAACGCUGGCGGCAUGCCUAACACAUGCAAGUCGAACGAGACCUUCGGGUCUAGUGGCGCACGGGUGCGUAACGCGUGGGAACCUGCCCUUAUGUUCGGAAUAACUCCCCGAAAGGGGUGCUAAUACCGGAUAAUGUCUUCGGACCAAAGAUUUAUCGCCUUUGGAUGGGCCCGCGUUGUAUUAGCUAGUUGGUAGGGUAAAAGCCUACCAAGGCGACGAUCCAUAGCUGGUCUGAGAGGAUGAUCAGCCACACUGGGACUGAGACACGGCCCAGACUGGUACGAGAGGCAGCAGUGGGGAAUAUUGGACAAGGGGCGAAAGCCUGAACCAGCAAGGCCGCGUGAGUGAUGAAGGCCUUAGGGUUGUAAAGCGCUUUUACCCGGGAUGAUAAUGACAGUACCGGGAGAAUAAGCACCGGCUAACUCCGUG